GCCAGCAUGGCAUAGUGGUAUGAGCAUUGGACUAGAGCUCAGGAGACCAGGGUUCGAAUCCCAGCUCACCCA
This is a non-coding RNA of Phrynosoma platyrhinos (Desert horned lizard), 72 nucleotides long. Lineage: Eukaryota; Metazoa; Chordata; Lepidosauria; Squamata; Phrynosomatidae. The record is from the annotation of a GenBank genome assembly.